CCUACGGGAGGCAGCAGUGGGGAAUAUUGCACAAUGGGGGGAACCCUGAUGCAGCGACGCCGCGUGAGUGAAGAAGUAUUUCGGUAUGUAAAGCUCUAUCAGCAGGGAAGAAGAUGACGGUACCUGACUAAGAAGCCCCGGCUAACUACGUGCCAGCAGCCGCGGUAAUACGUAGGGGGCAAGCGUUAUCCGGAUUUACUGGGUGUAAAGGGAGCGUAGACGGCAGGGCAAGUCUGGAGUGAAAGCCGGGGGCCCAACCCCGGGACUGCUUUGGAAACUGCCAUGCUGGAGUGCUGGAGAGGUAAGCGGAAUUCCUAGUGUAGCGGUGAAAUGCGUAGAUAUUAGGAGGAACACCAGUGGCGAAGGCGGCUUACUGGACAGUAACUGACGUUGAGGCUCGAAAGCGUGGGGAGCAAACAGGAUUAGAUACCCUAGUAGUC
RNAcentral lists this ribosomal RNA (440 nucleotides) under uncultured bacterium. RNAcentral describes it as "partial 16S ribosomal RNA". It matches the Rfam family "Bacterial small subunit ribosomal RNA", at positions 338 to 795 of the family's 1533-position model. The record is from RNAcentral.